Molecule: long non-coding RNA, 548 nt
Organism: Cephus cinctus (wheat stem sawfly)
Lineage: Eukaryota; Metazoa; Arthropoda; Insecta; Hymenoptera; Cephidae
Exons: 2
Source: RefSeq, a predicted model, not a curated record
AAGAAAACGGUCAACGAUAGUCGAGCGAUUCACUCUACUUCUACGACCAAUCAUCACCAUUGCUUUCUUGCCAAACCCAAAUAAUCAGUGCUCAAGCAAACGUGAGUGACUCCCGAGGAUCAUAUAUUAUGCAUUAUUCCACGUGCGUAUAGAGUCCGGGCAUUGAUUCGGGCUCUAUGAAAGUGCUCUGAGUAUUAACCGAAAGCACAACGAAGUGUCGAAAAGCAAACCGUAGCUCAGCCAAAGCGAUCAAAAGAUAAAGAUAUUAAAAAUCAAAUGAAACGAUUGAAAUAUUAAAGUUUGUCAAAGUUGUAUUGAAACGAGUGAAACGACCGAACAAGACCAACUGACAAACUUCUUGACUCAGACUAUAAUAACUUCAUACCCACGCGAAUUAAUUUUCAUACCUUGUUCUAGAUUUACCAUAAGAAAAGUUACAUUAGAAAGUUGAUAAUUCGCUUACAUGUUCGUAAUUCCUUAGCAGGAAUGAUUAUUUAAUAUUUGUUUAUAUGUGUACAAUUUAAAAUAAAAUCUAUAAAAUAAUCGAA